RNAcentral lists this ribosomal RNA (2900 nucleotides) under Klebsiella aerogenes. RNAcentral's name for it is "23S ribosomal RNA". It matches the Rfam family "Bacterial large subunit ribosomal RNA". Lineage: Bacteria; Pseudomonadati; Pseudomonadota; Gammaproteobacteria; Enterobacterales; Enterobacteriaceae. The record is from RNAcentral.
UUAAGCGACUAAGCGUACACGGUGGAUGCCCUGGCAGUCAGAGGCGAUGAAGGACGUGCUAAUCUGCGAAAAGCGUCGGUAAGGUGAUAUGAACCGUUACAGCCGGCGAUGUCCGAAUGGGGAAACCCAGUGUGAUUCGUCACACUAUCGUUAACUGAAUACAUAGGUUAACGAGGCGAACCGGGGGAACUGAAACAUCUAAGUACCCCGAGGAAAAGAAAUCAACCGAGAUUCCCCCAGUAGCGGCGAGCGAACGGGGAGCAGCCCAGAGUCUGAAUCAGCUUGUGUGUUAGUGGAACGGUCUGGAAAGUCCGACGGUACAGGGUGAUAGUCCCGUACACCAAAAUGCACAGGUUGUGAACUCGAAGAGUAGGGCGGGACACGUGGUAUCCUGUCUGAAUAUGGGGGGACCAUCCUCCAAGGCUAAAUACUCCUGACUGACCGAUAGUGAACCAGUACCGUGAGGGAAAGGCGAAAAGAACCCCGGCGAGGGGAGUGAAAAAGAACCUGAAACCGUGUACGUACAAGCAGUGGGAGCACCUUUAUGGUGUGACUGCGUACCUUUUGUAUAAUGGGUCAGCGACUUAUAUUCUGUAGCAAGGUUAACCGUAUAGGGGAGCCGCAGGGAAACCGAGUCUUAACUGGGCGUUAAGUUGCAGGGUAUAGACCCGAAACCCGGUGAUCUAGCCAUGGGCAGGUUGAAGGUUGGGUAACACUAACUGGAGGACCGAACCGACUAAUGUUGAAAAAUUAGCGGAUGACUUGUGGCUGGGGGUGAAAGGCCAAUCAAACCGGGAGAUAGCUGGUUCUCCCCGAAAGCUAUUUAGGUAGCGCCUCGUGAAUUCAUCUUCGGGGGUAGAGCACUGUUUCGGCUAGGGGUCAUCCCGACUUACCAACCCGAUGCAAACUACGAAUACCGAAGAAUGUUAUCACGGGAGACACACGGCGGGUGCUAACGUCCGUCGUGAAGAGGGAAACAACCCAGACCGCCAGCUAAGGUCCCAAAGUCACAGUUAAGUGGGAAACGAUGUGGGAAGGCACAGACAGCCAGGAUGUUGGCUUAGAAGCAGCCAUCAUUUAAAGAAAGCGUAAUAGCUCACUGGUCGAGUCGGCCUGCGCGGAAGAUGUAACGGGGCUAAACUGUGCACCGAAGCUGCGGCAGCGACACUAUGUGUUGUUGGGUAGGGGAGCGUUCUGUAAGCCUGCGAAGGUGGCCUGUGAGGGUUGCUGGAGGUAUCAGAAGUGCGAAUGCUGACAUAAGUAACGAUAAUGCGGGUGAAAAGCCCGCACGCCGGAAGACCAAGGGUUCCUGUCCAACGUUAAUCGGGGCAGGGUGAGUCGACCCCUAAGGCGAGGCCGAAAGGCGUAGUCGAUGGGAAACAGGUUAAUAUUCCUGUACUUGGUGUUACUGCGAAGGGGGACGGAGAAGGCUAUGUUAGCCGGGCGACGGUUGUCCCGGUUUAAGCAUGUAGGCGGAGGUUCCAGGUAAAUCCGGUACCUUUUAACGCUGAGGUGUGAUGACGAGGCACUACGGUGCUGAAGUAACAAAUGCCCUGCUUCCAGGAAAAGCCUCUAAGCAUCAGGUAACAUUGAAUCGUACCCCAAACCGACACAGGUGGUCAGGUAGAGAAUACCAAGGCGCUUGAGAGAACUCGGGUGAAGGAACUAGGCAAAAUGGUGCCGUAACUUCGGGAGAAGGCACGCUGAUAUGUAGGUGAAGCCCCUGCGGGUGGAGCUGAAAUCAGUCGAAGAUACCAGCUGGCUGCAACUGUUUAUUAAAAACACAGCACUGUGCAAACACGAAAGUGGACGUAUACGGUGUGACGCCUGCCCGGUGCCGGAAGGUUAAUUGAUGGGGUUAUCCGUAAGGAGAAGCUCUUGAUCGAAGCCCCGGUAAACGGCGGCCGUAACUAUAACGGUCCUAAGGUAGCGAAAUUCCUUGUCGGGUAAGUUCCGACCUGCACGAAUGGCGUAAUGAUGGCCAGGCUGUCUCCACCCGAGACUCAGUGAAAUUGAACUCGCUGUGAAGAUGCAGUGUACCCGCGGCAAGACGGAAAGACCCCGUGAACCUUUACUAUAGCUUGACACUGAACAUUGAGCCUUGAUGUGUAGGAUAGGUGGGAGGCUUUGAAGCGUGGACGCCAGUCUGCGUGGAGCCAACCUUGAAAUACCACCCUUUAAUGUUUGAUGUUCUAACGUUGGCCCCUUAUCGGGGUUGCGGACAGUGUCUGGUGGGUAGUUUGACUGGGGCGGUCUCCUCCCAAAGAGUAACGGAGGAGCACGAAGGUUAGCUAAUCCUGGUCGGACAUCAGGAGGUUAGUGCAAUGGCAUAAGCUAGCUUGACUGCGAGCGUGACGGCGCGAGCAGGUGCGAAAGCAGGUCAUAGUGAUCCGGUGGUUCUGAAUGGAAGGGCCAUCGCUCAACGGAUAAAAGGUACUCCGGGGAUAACAGGCUGAUACCGCCCAAGAGUUCAUAUCGACGGCGGUGUUUGGCACCUCGAUGUCGGCUCAUCACAUCCUGGGGCUGAAGUAGGUCCCAAGGGUAUGGCUGUUCGCCAUUUAAAGUGGUACGCGAGCUGGGUUUAGAACGUCGUGAGACAGUUCGGUCCCUAUCUGCCGUGGGCGCUGGAGAAUUGAGGGGGCUGCUCCUAGUACGAGAGGACCGGAGUGGACGCAUCACUGGUGUUCGGGUUGUCAUGCCAAUGGCAUUGCCCGGUAGCUAAAUGCGGAAGAGAUAAGUGCUGAAAGCAUCUAAGCACGAAACUUGCCCCGAGAUGAGUUCUCCCUGAGACUUUAAGUCUCCUGAAGGAACGUUAAAGACGAUGACGUUGAUAGGUCGGGUGUGUAAGCGUAGCGAUACGUUGAGCUAACCGAUACUAAUGAACCGUGAGGCUUAACCUU